AAGCCGAUGAGGAUCAAAUUUUUGAUAUUUGGAAUUACCGUCUGAACAUAAUAUUGAUGUCAGAUUUACUAUCUGAGGCUUCCU
Nicotiana attenuata is the source of this 84-nucleotide small nucleolar RNA. NCBI's taxonomy places the organism in Eukaryota, Viridiplantae, Streptophyta, Magnoliopsida, Solanales, Solanaceae. The record is from Rfam.